RNAcentral lists this ribosomal RNA (775 nucleotides) under uncultured Neocallimastigales. RNAcentral's name for it is "partial large subunit ribosomal RNA". It matches the Rfam family "Eukaryotic large subunit ribosomal RNA", at positions 20 to 616 of the family's 3401-position model. Lineage: Eukaryota; Fungi; Neocallimastigomycota; Neocallimastigomycetes; Neocallimastigales. The record is from RNAcentral.
UACUAGAGUAGCACUCGCAUAUCAAUAAGCGGAGGAAAAGAAACUAACAAGGAUUCCCCUAGUAACGGCGAGUGAAGCGGGAAGAGCUCAAAUUUGAAAUCUUAAAGGGUUUCCCUUUACGAAUUGUAGGUUUAAAGAAGUGUUUUCUGUUGAGGUUUUGGUAAAAGUUCUUUGGAAUAGGACAUCAUAGAGGGUGAGAAUCCCGUAUUUGACCUUUACUUUCAACUUUGUGAUACACUUUCAAAGAGUCGGAUUGUUUGGGAAUGCAGUCCAAAAUGGGUGGUAAAUUUCAUCUAAAGCUAAAUAUUGGCGAGAGACCGAUAGCGAACAAGUACCGUGAGGGAAAGAUGAAAAGAACUUUGAAAAGAGAGUUAAACAGUACGUGAAAUUGUCAAAAGGGAAGCGUUUGACACCAGUGUUGUUUUUCUGAAAAUCAAUUAAAGAACUGUUUAUGCUAAGCUGUUUAGACUUUAUCAGCUAUCUGUUUAGUUUUGAGCUUUUCUUUAAUGCACUUUUCAGUUAACAAGUCAACAUCAAUUUCUUUUGCUGUAAAAAAGCUUGAGGAAGGUGGCUUGAGAUUCGUCUUAAGUGUUUAUAGCCUCUUGCCUAUGCAGUCGGAGAGAUUGAGGUCUGCAGCGUAGAUCCUUCGGGGCUAAAUGCAUUUGUGCUAAGUUAUAGCAUUUUAUAGACAACUUGUUGACUAUGAUUUGUCUUGUAGCUUACUCACUUAUGUUAUUUUACCUACGCUUAGGAUGUUGAGCGCAUGUCUCUCUCU